This is a long non-coding RNA of Neltuma alba, 153 nucleotides long. RefSeq lists it as uncharacterized. The record is from RefSeq and is a predicted model, not a curated record. The transcript is spliced from 3 exons. NCBI's taxonomy places the organism in Eukaryota, Viridiplantae, Streptophyta, Magnoliopsida, Fabales, Fabaceae.
GCCAUCCAGCUUCACACGUCAAUCACAAGUGAAAUUCUUAUAUUUGUCAGGAAACAUGCUAAGUGGACCAGUGCCUGAUUGGUUAAUAAGAAGUGGAAACAAUGUAGACCUUUCUUACAACAACUUCAGCAUCAGCAACUUGAAGCCUUCACU